RNAcentral lists this ribosomal RNA (253 nucleotides) under uncultured bacterium. RNAcentral describes it as "partial 16S ribosomal RNA". It matches the Rfam family "Bacterial small subunit ribosomal RNA", at positions 524 to 776 of the family's 1533-position model. The record is from RNAcentral.
UACGUAGGGUGCAGGCGUUAAUCGGAAUUACUGGGCGUAAAGCGUGCGCAGGCGGUCUACUAAGACAGGUGUGAAAUCCCCGGGCUUAACCUGGGAACUGCGCUUGUAACUGGUAGGCUUGAGUGUGGCAGAGGGGGGUGGAAUUCCAGGUGUAGCAGUGAAAUGCGUAGAUAUCUGGAGGAACACCGAUGGCGAAGGCAGCCCCCUGGGCUAACACUGACGCUCAUGCACGAAAGCGUGGGGAGCAAACAGG